This 278-nucleotide ribosomal RNA is filed under the name Bedeva vinosa. Its description in RNAcentral is "Haustrum vinosum partial 28S ribosomal RNA". It matches the Rfam family "Eukaryotic large subunit ribosomal RNA", at positions 87 to 357 of the family's 3401-position model. The record is from RNAcentral. Lineage: Eukaryota; Metazoa; Mollusca; Gastropoda; Neogastropoda; Muricidae.
CGGCGAGUGAAGCGGGAUCAGCCCAGCACCGAAUCCCCCAGCAUCUCGCUGGCGGGAACUGUGGUGUAUGGGACGCCAACUGUCGUCUGCACUGGUGGCCGAAGUCCUCCUGAUCGGGGCCUCUCCCAGAGCGGGUGUCAGGCCUUUACUGGCCGCUGGUGCGUCGGCUGCGAGCGUCUCCGGAGUCGGGUUGUUUGGGAAUGCAGCCCAAAGCGGRUGGUAAACUCCAUCUAAGGCUAAAUACUGGCACGAGUCCGAUAGCGGACAAGUACCGUGAG